This 294-nucleotide ribosomal RNA is filed under the name uncultured microorganism. RNAcentral's name for it is "partial 16S ribosomal RNA". It matches the Rfam family "Bacterial small subunit ribosomal RNA", at positions 505 to 796 of the family's 1533-position model. The record is from RNAcentral.
GUGCCAGCAGCCGCGGUAAUACGUAGGGCGCAAGCGUUGUCCGGUAAUUAUUGGGCGUAAAGAGCUCGUAGGCGGUUUGUCGCGUCUGCUGUGAAAGCCCGGGGCUUAACCCCGGGUGUGCAGUGGGUACGGGCAGACUUGAGUGCAGUAGGGGAGACUGGAAUUCCUGGUGUAGCGGUGAAAAUGCGCAGAUAUCAGGAGGAACACCGAUGGCGAAGGCAGGUCUCUGGGCUGUUACUGACGCUGAGGAGCGAAAGCAUGGGGAGCGAACAGGAUUAGAUACCCUGGUAGUCC